Long non-coding RNA from Cyprinodon variegatus (sheepshead minnow), 834 nucleotides. RefSeq lists it as uncharacterized. The transcript is spliced from 3 exons. The record is from RefSeq and is a predicted model, not a curated record. Lineage: Eukaryota; Metazoa; Chordata; Actinopteri; Cyprinodontiformes; Cyprinodontidae.
UUUUUCAGUUUUACUUUGCUCCAUGUUUUAUUUUCUUGGUGAUCUAAUUCUUAUUUAUUUAUUUUUUUCUGUUUUCAGCUUUCUAGAUUUUUUAUUUAUUCCCCUCUUGUGUUCUCCUUUUUCCUAUGCUCUUUUCCUCUCCUGCCCUGUGCUCACCUGUUCCCAAUCUGCUCAUUAGUCUUCUUUGUCUCAGUCUCCUUUAAAUGCUUUCCCUCUUCAGUUCUUAUUUGCUGGGUCCUUGUCCGUCUCUCUGAGCCUUCCUCUUCUAGAUUGAAUCCCCCCUAAUGUCUCCAUGGAUUCUGGUUUGUUUUUAACUUUGUUUUCAUGUUUUGACUUUGGAUUUUUGGACUCCCGCUUUUCAGGUUGUUUGGACUUAGUUUUUCAUGUUUGGAUUUCUUGCCUCUGUUUCCUGUUAACCUUUAUUAAACCCAUAAGAAAUUCACCUCUGCCUCUGCAUUUUGGGUCAUCUAUCCACUACCAAAUCAUGACAGCAUCACAGUCCGGAAACAGGAAGGUUGAUGCUGAAAGGGAGAUUAAAGGCCUGAAAAACCCCAAAGACAACAUCAGCAGCUCCAAAAAUGAUGUUGUUUAUAAGCAUUCUCUGGAACGGCAAAACUCAGCUUUAGCCCCAGAGAGACAAAAGUUCCUUAAUGACGACAAUCCAAGGAAGAGAAAAUACAAAACAGAACCUCAAACGUGCCAUUUCUCAUUCGGCAUGUCAGCUUUCAACCUGGCCAACGCCAUCAUGGGCACCGGCAUGCUGGGUUUGUCAUUUGCCAUGGCAAACACCGGUAUCAUUCUGUUUACGUGAGCAUACACACACCUGUCACUUGA